Pan troglodytes (chimpanzee) is the source of this 80-nucleotide microRNA precursor. Ensembl annotates it as microRNA 4776-2. NCBI's taxonomy places the organism in Eukaryota, Metazoa, Chordata, Mammalia, Primates, Hominidae. The record is from Ensembl.
CUAUAUGCAGUGGACCAGGAUGGCAAGGGCUCUACUGUCCUUUCAGGAGAGCCCUUGCCAUCCUGGUCCACUGCAUAUAG